GACGAACGCUGGCGGCGCGCCUAACACAUGCAAGUCGAACGGUGAAGAGGAGCUUGCUCCUCGGAACAGUGGCGGACGGGUGAGUAACACGUGAGCAACCUGGCUCUAAGAGGGGGACAACAGUUGGAAACGACUGCUAAUACCGCAUGACGUAUCGGGAUGGCAUCUUCCUGAUACCAAAGAUUUUAUCGCUUAGAGAUGGGCUCGCGUCUGAUUAGAUAGUUGGCGGGGUAACGGCCCACCAAGUCGACGAUCAGUAGCCGGACUGAGGGGUUGAACGGCCACAUUGGGACUGAGACACGGCCCAGACUCCUACGGGAGGCAGCAGUGGGGGAUAUUGGACAAUGGGGGCAACCCUGAUCCAGCGACGCCGCGUGAGGGAAGAAGGUUUUCGGAUUGUAAACCUCUGUUGACGGAGAAAAAAAUGAUGGUAUCCGUUUAGAAAGCCACGGCUAACUACGUG
This 463-nucleotide ribosomal RNA is filed under the name uncultured bacterium. RNAcentral's name for it is "partial 16S ribosomal RNA". It matches the Rfam family "Bacterial small subunit ribosomal RNA", at positions 28 to 507 of the family's 1533-position model. The record is from RNAcentral.